ACCUUAAAUAUUAAUUAAAAUUCUGAUUUUUUGGAUUGAGGCGGGCCGCGUAAAUCCCACCCCAAUCCUUACGCGGGCCGCGAGAAGCCCAAAAUGUGGCGCAACCCUGGGCCGCCACCUGGCCCAACACCCGGCAAGCCUACAUAGUGACCCAGCUAAGCUACGCAUUGACCGGAGGUCAACGCGGGCCGCGUAGGCCCUAUGCUCAUGUUACGCGGGCCGCGAGAGGACUAGAUUCAGCAACUAUAAAUAGGAGGCCUUGGAUAUCAGUCGAAAUCAUUCAAAAAUCAUUUCUCAAUCUCAAUUUCUGAAUAGUAGGCUUUAUACGCGGGUAUUAUACCCUCCCUAAUUAGUGAAGCUUUGCCUCAUUUCAUUGGAAUGCCGUCUCGGGGAUGAUUAUAACCAGGAAGUCAUAAAGGAAAGCCCUAUAAUAGCAAUGUAACUUAGUGUGAAGCCAAUAAAAGCCAGCUGGAGAGCACUGAAGGCUUGGAAAAGUGGCUAUAAAGUUAACUAAAAUUA
This 519-nucleotide long non-coding RNA is filed under the name Helianthus annuus (common sunflower). Lineage: Eukaryota; Viridiplantae; Streptophyta; Magnoliopsida; Asterales; Asteraceae. The record is from RNAcentral.